CGCAGACAAGACAUGUGCCUGCCCUAGCUCUUCAUUCUUACAGAGUGGUUGCAGUGGGACUUGUUUCCACCCCUUGCACAUUCUCAAAAUACACUCCCAGGCUGGGCUCCCUGGGAAGAACAGCUUCCUCCAGACACACACAGGUGGAAGGUCCAACAAACCUCCUUGCCGCCGACUUUGAACAGGCACAGACUUCUGCCAGGCCUGCAGACAGAGCUCAGGAUAAAGAGCCAAGGGUGUGGCCUGUCUCGAGGCCCAUAGAUGUGCGCUCUGCAGGUGGAAUGGCCGUCCGGUGCUUACUUUGACUGUCCUCGGGUCCCGAGUCUUCUGGUGGUUAACUGAGGAAACUGCUGCCUUAUGAUCUAGCAGAGGAUGAUAAUUGCUGUUGCCCAGGACAACCACACCAGUUCACAAGAAAUCCGUGAAGAGAGAGCAUCUCUCAAGGUGAAAACAUAACCAUGAGGCCCCUUUCCUUGGGGUUUACGGAGAUGAUGUUUGUGGAGAGGCAUGACAGGUCAGGGGUUACGUGCAAGAACUCUGGAACUCGACUACCUGAAUUGAAUGCAAGCUCAGGCAUUGGUUAGGCUGGAUGCCCUUGGGCAAGUUAUUUAGUAUCCACAUGACUCAGUUUCCCCAUUUGUAAAAUAGGAAUGAUAAUAACCUCUAGAGUUAUUGUGAAAUUUUAAAAAGUGAAUGUAUGUAAAUAGCUGGCAGUAGUGCCUGGCAGUUAGUAAGUACUUAAUAAAUGUUACCCAUUAUUACCACUGAUUGUCCUGAUGACCCUUUUACUUCCAGGGAUUUUUUGAGUGUAACCAAGACUCCCUUCCCUCCUGGUACAGCACUGAGCAGGCAUACAUGGUCAGAGAGAGUAAGCCUUCAUGAGAAAAGAAGCUGUUGCUGAUUUCUUGUUGGUAGGGCAUAAACCUUGAGUGCUUUCUCUAGGGAUGGGGAUGAAUCUCUAUUCAUCUAUUCACCCCUCUUUUAUCCACACCACUACUCUCACUGAUUGAUUUACUCAUUCACUCAACAAAUAUGGACUGUGACCUUGUUAGCUGUUUGAACUGGGACAUACUGUUUAACCUCUCUGUGCCUGAAUUUCCUCCUGUGGCAUUUGAGGACUAAGGGGUUGUGUAGUCUUCCCCUAAUUGGAGGGCUAGGUGUUGGUGAUCUCAACUAAAAUGGUAUCAAUGGGAUGGACAGAAGUGCACAAAUUAGUGAGAAAUUGAGAACCUUGAAGACUGACCAUUUCUCUACACUGGGGAGCUGACCACCUCCAGUGUGGAGAAUGGAUGCCGCAGCAUUUCAGCAUCAGAGAAUCGUUGACAAAAAGAUGCACCUCACAAGAAUGUUUAGAGAAUCUAAUACGAUAGCAUCAUGAAACCACUUUUGGAAGUAAAAAAGGCUUUUAAAAUACCAUCUCAUGGUGAUAAUACUGAACAAAAUGAUGCAACAAUUCUCUGAAUUCUUUAAGGGUACCACUUUGUAGGCAAUAAAUCCCAUCUCUUUAACCCUGACUCUUGUAAACUGAAGAUCCAAGCUUUUCACUUUAUGUCCUUCUCAAAUUGUGGUGACCUGAGUAAAAGGCAGUGAUUCAAGAUGGGGUCAGUAACAGUGCUCUUUAAACACUUUGUCUAGCAGUGCAGCCUAAGACUGCAUCCAGGUUUAGUGGCCUCAUCACCUUGGAUUUAUAUUAACCUGUGGCCAAGCCCUUCAGACUUUCAGCAUAUGAAUGGCUUCAGAGCCAGGAUUUGAAGCAGCUGUUCACAAAGGCACACUACUGAACAGACAUAGACAUGCUAAUAGCGAUAGAAAGAAAACAAGGGAAGCAUAAAAAUUGAGCCAGGGGAUUUUUCACAUUGGUUAAAAGUGGGUUCUAAGUUUCCUAACCACCCAAGCAAAGAAGAUAAUACAAUAGAGUUCCAAGAGUCCCAGUAUCAAUAUAAGUGCAUACUAGUUGCUUAGAAAAAGCAGAAAUUUUCCUAUGUUUAGGUCUGGAAAAUUUCUCCGAUACAAAUGGACACAACAGUAAAGUAUUGUGGUUUUUGGUUUUUUUUUUUGUUUUUUUCUGAGACAGAGCCCCCACUCUGUUGCCCAGGCUGGAGUGCAGUGGCAUGGCUCAGCUCACUGCAACCUCCACCUCCUGGGUUCAAGUGAUUCUCCUGCCUCAGCCUACCAAGUAGCUGGGACUACAGGUGCACACCAACACGACUGGCUAAUUGUAUUUUUAGUAGAGACAGGGUUUCGCCAUGUUGGCCAGGCUGGUCUCGAACUCCUGACCUCAAGUGAUCCACCCACCUCAACCUCUCAAAGUGCUGGGAUUACAGGUGUGAGCCACUGCACUUGGCCAGUAAGGCACCAUGUUUAACCCUCUGUUAUUCACAGACAUUUUGGAAAGGUUAAUAUUCAGUGCUGUCAAGGCUGUAGUAAAACUGGAAUACUCAGAUGGCUGAUGAUAUCAUUUAUUAGCACAACCCUUCCCCAGAGCGUUUUUAAAAUACAUAGGAAGCCAUAAAGUACUUAUAUUUUUGAUCUAUUAAUUCCAAGGAAAUAAUCUGAAAUAAGGAAAAGCUAAAUGUAAGUCUACUAAUGAGAGUGAAAAAUUUGAAACAGCAUAAAUGUCUAAUGAUAGGAAACUGUCUAAAAACAUGAUAGUAUAUAUACACACGGUAGAAAUUAUGAAAUAGCCAUUAAAAAUGAUGGUAACAAAAACUAUGUCACAACACAGAAAAUGCUUAUAAUGUUAAAUGAAAUAGCAGAUCUCAAUCUGUGUUUAUGUUAUAGUUUUAUAACAGAGAAUUGUUUGUAAAAAUAUAGGAAUAAACAGGUAAUGUGGUAAAAUGAAAAUGGAUAUUCGUUAGGGCAUUGGGAUUGUGGGUAGAAC
Molecule: long non-coding RNA, 2881 nt
Filed under: Homo sapiens (human)
Lineage: Eukaryota; Metazoa; Chordata; Mammalia; Primates; Hominidae
Description: HSALNT0194426
Source: RNAcentral